Callithrix jacchus (white-tufted-ear marmoset) is the source of this 2362-nucleotide non-coding RNA. The record is from RefSeq and is a predicted model, not a curated record. NCBI's taxonomy places the organism in Eukaryota, Metazoa, Chordata, Mammalia, Primates, Cebidae.
AGAGGAGGAGGGGGAAAACGGUGGCAGGAGCUGGGGCGGGGGGGAAAUUGUGGGGACGCGGGCGGAGGCGCGGUGCGCGCCGGCGGUGGCGGGCACGAGCCCCGUGCCUGGAGGAGGAGGAGUCAGACCGGGUAGGAGGGCUAAGGAGGUUCCCGGGAACUCGGGGACCCCCGCACACACUCUCCCCCGCCCCGAUCCCUGGUAACUGACCGUCGCCCGCCUGGCACUAGCAGCGGCGCAGACCCGGGCGGAGUCGGGCUCCUGGGUGCGCUCUGAGCGCCGCUCCCCUCGCCCACGCCGUGCCGGAGGAGCGGAGCCCACGCGCAGCCCCGGGCUGCUCCCCGAAGCUGCUUGCUGGGGCUCCCGAGAGGCCCCAAGGUUCCUGGGGAAGCUGCGGGUGGGUGUUAAUGUGAAGUCGGGAAUGCAAAGUGGCUGCGACGCCCUAGAUCCCUGGGGCCGCGCCCAGCCACCCGUCCCCCAACAUCACCCUGCUGUGGAGCGACGUGGCUGCUAAGAGGAACAAAAAAAAGAGAAUUUUCUACCACUUUUGCCAUUAUCCAGAACCACAUGGCUAGUUGAGAUUAUUGGUUCAAGACAUUGAAGAUGGGUGUCCAUAUAAGAGGGAGGUAAAAGGUUCAAAGUCAGAAAAAGAGAUGUGAUGAUGGAAGAAGAAGUGAGCAUGAUGGAGCCACUAGCCAAGGCAUGCAAGCAGCCUCUAGAAGAUGAAAAAAGCAAGGGACAGAUUCUCCUCCAGAGCCUUCAGAAGGAAUGUAGCUCUGCCACCACCUUGAAUGGCCUUGUGAGAUCUGUUUUGAACUUACAACAUUCUAAAAGAUAAUAAAUUUGUGUUAUUUUAAGCCACUAAGUAUGUGAUAUCUAGUUACAGUGGCAAUAGGAAACUAAUACUAUUUAAUUGCCUUGUAAAUUAUAUUUUACAUGUAAAAAUUAGAUUUAUUUUUUAAAGCUAGAAAAAAGCAAGAAGCUCAUAAUAGCUUAUUGUAUCUGGAGAACAAUAAACAUCCUAAGAAGGCUUGAGUGACUGUUAAGGGUAUGAUUUUAGUAAUAAUAAUGAUAAGAAUUUUGAUGUUCUGGGAUGUCUUUUACCAGCAGCCCAUUUAGUCUGGUUUAUGCACUUUAAAUUUAGUAAUAGUUAAUAGAGAAAAGGAAAAUAUGCUUAGAUUACCCCAUCCAGUUAAGUUCAAAUCCAUUUUAACAUAGAGUAUAGUCAUGUGCAGCUUAAUGACAGGAAUAUUUUCUGAGAAAUGCCUCAUUAGCCAAUUUCAUCACUGUGCAAACAUCACAAUGCGCUCUUACACAAAUCUAGAUUGCAUAGCCUACCUCACAUGUAGAGUUAACCUAUUGCUCCUAGGCUACAAACCUGAACAGUGUGUUAUCUGUACUAAAUAUGAUUGAGAAUUGUCACAAUGUAAGUUUUUGUGUAUAUAAAUACAUCUAAACAUAGAAAAGGUGAAAUAAAAAUAUGACAUUAUCUUAUGAGACUACCAUCAUCAAGGAGGUCCAUCAUUGACUGAAAUGUCAUUAUGCAGUGCAUGACUGUACUCUCAACUGGGGCCAUAAUGGGGGUAACCUGGUUUUCUAGAAUUCUCUCAGCAUCCUUCUGUUUGACUGCCAGCUAUGUAUCUCUCUGCCAAAGGUUACCUAUAAAAGGAUCUAGACGUAUCAAGCAAUAACAUUGCAGCAAUACUAUAAAUACAUUUUAAAGCUCAAUGUUUUUUAUUUUAUGAUAUCUGAUGACAAUAUUGGAAAUUAAAAAGGUUACUGCUACUGUCUUAACAUCUGUACAUUUCAACUAUCCUAUUUGAACAUGGUAUUUUUACCUUCUAUGUCAUGCUUUUUGUGUGUGUGCAUCCAUUCUUCUCUUACUUAUAGACCCAGUAAAAGGAAAUAUUCUUUCUCAGCAAGAGAAUCUGUGUGCAGUGGACAAGUGGAUGUCUCUAACUGAAGUGCUUGCUUUGAAUCUUCCUCCAUUACUUAAUCAGUCUGUGACUCUAAGCAAUGUACUUAUUCUCUCUGAGCCUUGAUUUCCUCUUCUGUAAAAAAGAGAAAAUAAUAGGACCUAUGUUAUGAGAAUACUUUGAGGAUUAAAUUACCUAAUAAGUGUAAAAUAUUUGAACAGUGUCAAACUCAAUGUCCAUACCCAUUUAAUUUUGAUUAUUUAUUCUUUUUCCUCAUGCCUAUUUCAAAACUCAUCUACACAAGCUACACUUCAAUGCCCAAACUAGCGAUAAUUCAAAACUUAUUUCUGGCCACCACAUAUCACAAUGCUCUUUCCAUUCCUGGAUUUCUAUAGAUUCUACAUUAAAAAGCAAAUUUUUAAUCUCAUUGGAUUCAUAAUAACCGU